Molecule: ribosomal RNA, 496 nt
Filed under: uncultured bacterium
Lineage: Bacteria
Description: partial 16S ribosomal RNA
Rfam family: Bacterial small subunit ribosomal RNA
Source: RNAcentral
GAUGAACGCUGGCGGCGUGCCUAAUACAUGCAAGUCGAGCGAACAGACGAGGAGCUUGCUCCUCUGACGUUAGCGGCGGACGGGUGAGUAACACGUGGAUAACCUACCUAUAAGACUGGGAUAACUUCGGGAAACCGGAGCUAAUACCGGAUAAUAUAUUGAACCGCAUGGUUCAAUAGUGAAAGACGGUUUUGCUGUCACUUAUAGAUGGAUCCGCGCCGCAUUAGCUAGUUGGUAAGGUAACGGCUUACCAAGGCAACGAUGCGUAGCCGACCUGAGAGGGUGAUCGGCCACACUGGAACUGAGACACGGUCCAGACUCCUACGGGAGGCAGCAGUAGGGAAUCUUCCGCAAUGGGCGAAAGCCUGACGGAGCAACGCCGCGUGAGUGAUGAAGGUCUUCGGAUCGUAAAACUCUGUUAUGAGGGAAGAACAAAUGUGUAAGUAACGAUGCACGUCUUGACGGUACCUAAGCAGAAAGCCACGGCUAACUACGU